UUUGCUGGUGUAGUCUUCUCUUUAUGGUAGUCUAACACAUCUAUACUUACAUUCUGGAGUAUGUAUAAAAAAAGACGAUAAUUCCAAAAUGAAUCACCAAAUACAAUGCCCUCAAAUUAGAGCUGAUAGUCUGCCCUUUAACAUUAUGUUCAUUAUUUUAUUUCACAUGAAAGUGCAGAGCCAAAACAACAAAAAUUAUGUUUCUGUUACAAUACUUUUUCCAGACACAUACAAUUUGUACAUUGUUUCAGUGUCAGAGUUCCUUUUAAAUAUCAGAAUCCAUGAAGUGAAUGGAAAUAAUAAUUUAAACUAAUUUGUGUCCUACUACAGUAACAGUCAAGAAGGUUCAAACCUUCAAGAACACACCGAGGACACAGGAGUCAGAAGUUCCCCGUUCCUGCACCUAUCAGGGAUUUAUGUGCAUGAAUAAUUCAUGAGAUUUAUUUUGCUGACAAAAUGGCCGUUUGCGAAAUUGAGCCACUCAAAGUUUUGUGUUCUUUUCCACGCUUAAUGAAGCCGCGCCGAUACGUUGUGCUUGAGGGGGUGACCAGAAGCGGUUUCUGAAGAUAUUCAUGAGCCACUGAGCUCAGUUAUGAGGUUCCCAGUGAAAACACUACGCCUCUCGCCGCUCCUAAUGGCCGGCCAGCGUGCCCAUGCAUACAUAAGGCCCCUGCAUGCCCAGCCCCCAAAUCGCAGAGCAAGCCAUGCAGUGACCCAGUCAGCACUUUUUGCCCAAAACCUUGACCAAGAGGUAUAAGACCUGAUCUUGAUUUUGAGGCAUUCUUGUGUCAUGUAUUUAAGGCUGCAUGUAAGUACAUUUCUGCUCACUAAGAACAAGACUGAAAACAUAUUCCAAGAAGAUGGGAACUGGUGCCCUGACCCUAUUGCUGUGUGCUUUGUUCCUCACUAGGUGGCGCCAGUGAAAAGAGAUGUAGUGACAACUGUAAAUUUGCUAGGUCCACUGGGAUUAUUCCAGGUGGCUCACAAUCAUUUAGUGCCUCAACAAAAGCAGCACUGUCCCAUGCUUCUGGACAGGGACUUGAGAUCCACUCAUUCAUUCCCUGUAUACCAAUAAAAACAGGUGCACCAUCAUGCAAAUGGCUAGCUGUCUUAUAAAUGGAGACUGUCUUCAACCAUCAGAGAGACCUGGGCCCUUCCUCUUUUUUUGCCUGGUGUUUUUAGGAACAACAAAUGAUCUCU
Molecule: long non-coding RNA, 1200 nt
Organism: Anguilla anguilla (European eel)
Lineage: Eukaryota; Metazoa; Chordata; Actinopteri; Anguilliformes; Anguillidae
Exons: 3
Source: RefSeq, a predicted model, not a curated record